RNAcentral lists this ribosomal RNA (382 nucleotides) under uncultured Nitrosomonas sp. Its description in RNAcentral is "bacterial SSU rRNA". It matches the Rfam family "Bacterial small subunit ribosomal RNA", at positions 198 to 575 of the family's 1533-position model. Lineage: Bacteria; Pseudomonadati; Pseudomonadota; Betaproteobacteria; Nitrosomonadales; Nitrosomonadaceae. The record is from RNAcentral.
GAUCGAAAGACCUUAUGCUUUUGGAGCGGCCGAUGUCUGAUUAGCUAGUUGGUAAGGUAAUGGCUUACCAAGGCAACGAUCAGUAGUUGGUCUGAGAGGACGACCAGCCACACUGGGACUGAGACACGGCCCAGACUCCUACGGGAGGCAGCAGUGGGGAAUUUUGGACAAUGGGCGCAAGCCUGAUCCAGCAAUGCCGCGUGAGUGAAGAAGGCCUUCGGGUUGUAAAGCUCUUUCAGUUGAGAAGAAAAGAUUGUGACUAAUAAUUGCAAUUCAUGACGGUAUCAACAGAAGAAGCACCGGCUAACUACGUGCCAGCAGCCGCGGUAAUACGUAGGGUGCGAGCGUUAAUCGGAAUUACUGGGCGUAAAUGGAACGCAGG